GCUCAGGAUGAACGCKGGCGGCGUGCCUAAUACAUGCAAGUCGAGCGAACGGAUAAGGAGCUUGCUCCUUUGAAGUUAGCGGCGGACGGGUGAGUAACACGUGGGUAACCUACCUAUAAGACUGGAAUAACUUCGGGAAACCGGAGCUAAUGCCGGAUAACAUUUGGAACCGCAUGGUUCUAAAGUAAAAGAUGGUUUUGCUAUCACUUAUAGAUGGACCCGCGCCGUAUUAGCUAGUUGGUAAGGUAACGGCUUACCAAGGCAACGAUACGUAGCCGACCUGAGAGGGUGAUCGGCCACACUGGAACUGAGACACGGUCCAGACUCCUACGGGAGGCAGCAGUAGGGAAUCUUCCGCAAUGGACGAAAGUCUGACGGAGCAACGCCGCGUGAGUGAUGAAGGUUUUCGGAUCGUAAAACUCUGUUAUUAGGGAAGAACAAAUGUGUAAGUAACUGUGCACAUCUUGACGGUACCUAAUCAGAAAGCCACGGCUAACUACGUGCCAGCAGCCGCGGUAAUACGUAGG
RNAcentral lists this ribosomal RNA (527 nucleotides) under Staphylococcus equorum. RNAcentral's name for it is "bacterial SSU rRNA". It matches the Rfam family "Bacterial small subunit ribosomal RNA", at positions 22 to 531 of the family's 1533-position model. The record is from RNAcentral. Lineage: Bacteria; Bacillati; Bacillota; Bacilli; Caryophanales; Staphylococcaceae.